RNAcentral lists this ribosomal RNA (468 nucleotides) under uncultured bacterium. Its description in RNAcentral is "partial 16S ribosomal RNA". It matches the Rfam family "Bacterial small subunit ribosomal RNA", at positions 28 to 507 of the family's 1533-position model. The record is from RNAcentral.
GACGAACGCUGGCGGCGUGCUUAACACAUGCAAGUCGAACGGAAAGGCCCUGCUUUUGUUGGGUGCUCGAGUGGCGAACGGGUGAGUAACACGUGAGUAACCCGCCCUUGACUUUGGGAUAACUUCAGGAAACUCGGGCUAAUACCGCAUAUGAGCUCUUGCUCCAUGUUGGGUGAUGGAUAGUUUCGGCGGUUGUAGAUGGACUCGCGGCUUAUCCGCUUGGUAGUGUGGUAGUGGCUUACCAAGGCUUUGACGGAUAGCCUGCAUGAGAGGGGGACCAGGCACAAUGGGACUGAGAGAGGGCCCAGAAGCAUACGGGAGGCAACAGUGGGGAAUAUUACGGAAUGAGGGGGAGCCAGUGACAGCAGCGCAGCGUGCGGGAAGACGGGCUUCGGGUGUUGAACCGAUUUCGCAGGAGCUGAAGAGGGAGUGACGGUAAUGGGUAAAGAAGCACCGGCUAACUACGUG